This is a non-coding RNA of Cinara cedri, 441 nucleotides long. The record is from the annotation of a GenBank genome assembly. NCBI's taxonomy places the organism in Eukaryota, Metazoa, Arthropoda, Insecta, Hemiptera, Aphididae.
UUGGAAACUAUUGAAAAACUAAUGAAACAUACAAACUGUUGGUUUUAAUCGUACGUUUUGAAUUAAAUACGUCUAUGGUUGGUAUAUAGUGAAUUGAGAAUAUUAUUAUUAUCGUAUCCUAAACCUCUUUAACGUUGUGUGCUUUUAGAUUUAAGAAAAAAAUGUUCGUGCAAACAUCGUCUACGUCAUUGACGUAAAGUUACAUCCAACCCCUACACCUACAGACACACUAAAGCUGCAGUGUUAACUGUCAGAGCUCAUUCCGUAUAGUCAAUGCAAAUUCGAUGUCUCCAGUGUUCCACAUAACAAAAAAAUAAAUCGUUUUCACGCUGUUAUAGGGAACGUUUAUAAUAUUCGUUCAAACACAAUAUUAAUAUGAUGCCGUAAAACACAUGACACUCGCAUCGUAAUAUAUACAUUACACAAAUAAAUCAACCCUUG